GACGAACGCUGGCGGCGUGCCUAAUACAUGCAAGUCGAGCGAAGUUUUUCUGGUGCUUGCACCGGAAAAACUUAGCGGCGAACGGGUGAGUAACACGUAAAGAACCUGCCUCAUAGACUGGGACAACUAUUGGAAACGAUAGCUAAUACCGGAUAACAGCAUUAACUGCAUGGUUGAUGUUUAAAAGUUGGUUUUGCUAACACUAUGAGAUGGCUUUGCGGUGCAUUAGCUAGUUGGUGGGGUAAAGGCCUACCAAGGCGACGAUGCAUAGCCGACCUGAGAGGGUGAUCGGCCACACUGGGACUGAGACACGGCCCAGACUCCUACGGGAGGCAGCAGUAGGGAAUCUUCCGCAAUGGGCGAAAGCCUGACGGAGCAACGCCGCGUGAGUGAAGAAGGAUUUCGGUUCGUAAAGCUCUGUUGUUAGGGAAGAAUGAUUGUGUAGUAACUAUACACAGAGAGGACGG
This 467-nucleotide ribosomal RNA is filed under the name Gemella haemolysans. RNAcentral describes it as "bacterial SSU rRNA". It matches the Rfam family "Bacterial small subunit ribosomal RNA", at positions 28 to 475 of the family's 1533-position model. Lineage: Bacteria; Bacillati; Bacillota; Bacilli; Caryophanales; Gemellaceae. The record is from RNAcentral.